UGCGUAGGUGGCGUGGUAAGUCGGGUGUGAAAUUUCGGAGCUUAACUCCGAAACUGCAUUCGAUACUGCCGUGCUUGAGGACUGGAGAGGAGACUGGAAUUUACGGUGUAGCAGUGAAAUGCGUAGAGAUCGUAAGGAAGACCAGUGGCGAAGGCGGGUCUCUGGACAGUUCCUGACACUGAGGCACGAAGGCUAGGGGAGUAAACG
RNAcentral lists this ribosomal RNA (207 nucleotides) under uncultured bacterium. RNAcentral's name for it is "partial 16S ribosomal RNA". It matches the Rfam family "Bacterial small subunit ribosomal RNA", at positions 568 to 774 of the family's 1533-position model. The record is from RNAcentral.